RNAcentral lists this ribosomal RNA (433 nucleotides) under uncultured bacterium. RNAcentral describes it as "partial 16S ribosomal RNA". It matches the Rfam family "Bacterial small subunit ribosomal RNA", at positions 29 to 507 of the family's 1533-position model. The record is from RNAcentral.
AGCGAACGCUGGCGGCAGGCCUAACACAUGCAAGUCGAACGAAUUCUUCGGAGUUAGUGGCGGACGGGUGAGUAACACGUGGGAACGUGCCUUUUGGUUCGGAAUAACUCAGGGAAACUUGUGCUAAUACCGAAUGUGCCCUUCGGGGGAAAGAUUUAUCGCCAUUAGAGCGGCCCGCGUCUGAUUAGCUAGUUGGUGAGGUAACGGCUCACCAAGGCGACGAUCAGUAGCUGGUCUGAGAGGAUGACCAGCCACACUGGGACUGAGACACGGCCCAGACUCCUACGGGAGGCAGCAGUGGGGAAUCUUGCGCAAUGGGCGAAAGCCUGACGCAGCCAUGCCGCGUGAAUGAUGAAGGUCUUAGGAUUGUAAAAUUCUUUCACCGGGGACGAUAAUGACGGUACCCGGAGAAGAAGCCCCGGCUAACUUCGUG